Molecule: non-coding RNA, 83 nt
Organism: Canis lupus familiaris (dog)
Lineage: Eukaryota; Metazoa; Chordata; Mammalia; Carnivora; Canidae
Source: Rfam
GCCUGGGUGGCUCAGUGGUUGAGCGUCUGCCUUUGGCUCAGGGCGUGAUCCUGGAGUCAUGGGAUCAAGUCCCAUAUCGGGCU